Molecule: ribosomal RNA, 484 nt
Filed under: uncultured bacterium
Lineage: Bacteria
Description: partial 16S ribosomal RNA
Rfam family: Bacterial small subunit ribosomal RNA
Source: RNAcentral
AUUGAACGCUGGCGGAAUGCUUUACACAUGCAAGUCGAACGGCAGCACGGGGGCAACCCUGGUGUCGAGUGGCGAACGGGUGAGUAAUACAUCGGAACGUGCCCGGUCGCGUGGUAUAACGUAGCGAAAGUUACGCUAAUACCGCAUACGAUCUGAGGAUGAAAGCGGGGGACCUUCGGGCCUCGCGCGAUCGCGGCGGCCGAUGUCAGAUUAGGUAGUUGGUGGGGUAAAGGCCUACCAAGCCGACGAUCUGUAGCUGGUCUGAGAGGACGACCAGCCACACUGGGACUGAGACACGGCCCAGACUCCUACGGGAGGCAGCAGUGGGGAAUUUUGGACAAUGGGCGCAAGCCUGAUCCAGCCAUUCCGCGUGCAGGACGAAGGCCUUCGGGUUGUAAACUGCUUUUGUAUGGAACGAAAAGGAUCUGGCUAAUACCUGGGGCUCAUGACGGUACCGUAAGAAUAAGCACCGGCUAACUACGUG